AUUGAACGCUGGCGGCAUGCUUUACACAUGCAAGUCGGACGGCAGCACAGAGAAGCUUGCUUCUUGGGUGGCGAGUGGCGAACGGGUGAGUAAUAUAUCGGAACGUACCGAGUAAUGGGGGAUAACUAAUCGAAAGAUUAGCUAAUACCGCAUAUUCUCUGAGGUGGAAAGCAGGGGACCUUCGGGCCUUGCGUUAUUCGAGCGGCCGAUAUCUGAUUAGCUAGUUGGUGGGGUAAAGGCCUACCAAGGCGACGAUCAGUAGCGGGUCUGAGAGGAUGAUCCGCCACACUGGGACUGAGACACGGCCCAGACUCCUACGGGAGGCAGCAGUGGGGAAUUUUGGACAAUGGGCGCAAGCCUGAUCCAGCCAUGCCGCGUGUCUGAAGAAGGCCUUCGGGUUGUAAAGGACUUUUGUCAGGGAAGAAAAGGCUGUUGCUAAUACCGACAGCUGAUGACGGUACCUGAAGAAUAAGCACCGGCUAACUACGUG
Molecule: ribosomal RNA, 490 nt
Filed under: uncultured bacterium
Lineage: Bacteria
Description: partial 16S ribosomal RNA
Rfam family: Bacterial small subunit ribosomal RNA
Source: RNAcentral